Non-coding RNA from Acanthosepion pharaonis, 89 nucleotides. The record is from the annotation of a GenBank genome assembly. NCBI's taxonomy places the organism in Eukaryota, Metazoa, Mollusca, Cephalopoda, Sepiida, Sepiidae.
GAGUUCCUGUACGGUCACCGAAGUUAAGCAACGUUGAUCCUGGUCAGUACUUAGACGGGCAACCGCUUGGGAAUUCCAGGUGCUGUCAG